This 309-nucleotide ribosomal RNA is filed under the name uncultured Desulfocapsa sp. Its description in RNAcentral is "bacterial SSU rRNA". It matches the Rfam family "Bacterial small subunit ribosomal RNA", at positions 1069 to 1382 of the family's 1533-position model. The record is from RNAcentral. Lineage: Bacteria; Pseudomonadati; Thermodesulfobacteriota; Desulfobulbia; Desulfobulbales; Desulfocapsaceae.
GAGAUGUUGGUUAAGUCCGCACGAGCGCAACCCUACUCUUUAGUUUGUCCAUCAUUGAGUUGGGCACUCUAAAGAGACUGCCGGUGUCAAACCGGAGAAGUGGGGAUGACGUCAAGUCCUCAUGGCCUUUAUGACCAGGGCUACACACGUACUACAAUGGCCGGUACAAAGGGCAGCGACACAGCGAUGUGAAGCCAAUCCCGAAAAGCCGGUCUCAGUCCGGAUUGGAGUCUGCAACUCGACUCCAUGAAGUUGGAAUCGCUAGUAAUCGCGGAUCAGCAUGCCGCGGUGAAUACGUUCCCGGGCCUU